AGCGAACGCUGGCGGCAGGCCUAAUACAUGCAAGUCGAACGGUCUCUUCGGAGGCAGUGGCGGACGGGUGAGUAACGCGUGGGAAUAUGCCCUUUGGUACGGAACAACUGAGGGAAACUUCAGCUAAUACCGUAUGUGCCCUUCGGGGAAGGAUUAUCGCCAUUGGAGUAGCCCGCGUUGGAUUAGGUAGUUGGUGGGGUAAAGGCCUACCAAGCCUACGAUCCAUAGCUGGUCUGAGAGGAUGAUCAGCCACACUGGGACGUGAGACACGGCCCAGACUCCUACGGGAGGCAGCAGUAGGGAAUCUUGCGCAAUGGGCGAAAGCCUGACGCAGCCAUGCCGCGUGAAUGAUGAAGGUCUUAGGAUUGUAAAAAUUCUUUCACCGGGGAAGAUAAUGACGGUACCCGGAGAAGAAGCCCCGGCUAACUUCGUGCCAGCAGCCGCGGU
RNAcentral lists this ribosomal RNA (447 nucleotides) under uncultured bacterium. RNAcentral's name for it is "bacterial SSU rRNA". It matches the Rfam family "Bacterial small subunit ribosomal RNA", at positions 29 to 521 of the family's 1533-position model. The record is from RNAcentral.